Xyrichtys novacula (pearly razorfish) is the source of this 11964-nucleotide non-coding RNA. The record is from the annotation of a GenBank genome assembly. Lineage: Eukaryota; Metazoa; Chordata; Actinopteri; Labriformes; Labridae.
CAUUUCCCCCCACUGCUUUCUUCCCUUGUCCUUUCUCCCUCUAUUCUGCCUUUUAACAUCCUUUAUUCUGCGUUCCUUCUUUCCUCUUUUUCCUCCCUCCCAGCAUUUUUUCUGUCUCCUCUGUUUCCUCCCCUCUUCCUUCCUUCUCCUCUGUGGUAAUGGCAGCUGAUUGAUGGAGUUUGUUUAGCUUUAAUUACACUGCAGGUGAGCGGCCAGGCCUGCUCAUGCCAGUGUAGCAGAAAACUCAACUUGGUUAGGUUACAGAUUGGAUUUCCCAAAGUGAUAACAUUGUAUAGAGGAAAGGCCUUCAAACUAAUACAUUUUAUUACUGUUUUCUUGUAUUUUCUUUUUAUUUUAUAAGCUCAUCAGAUGGAUAUCAUUAACAUAUUCAGCUUAACUUUUAAUACCCAACAUUCUCAAUUUUGGGAUAUAUUUUGUGCAUACAACCCCGCUUCCCAAAAAGUUUAUUAUAAACAAAUUUUGACAAUUAAUCAAAGCACACUUAAUUGAAAAUAGAACAAACAUUGCAUAUCAAAUAUACUAUAAUUAAUAUACUUGUUUUAUGAAAUAUACUGUAUACUGUAUGAUCCUUUAAAUUUGAUGCACACAUACAAAAAAGUUAUAUAGGAGACAACAUACACUGCCAUCUACACAAUGCCAUUUCCAGGUUAGACCUUGCAUAUUUUAGCAAGACCAUGCAAAAAUACAAACAAACAAAAAACACAUGCAUGGCUCAGAAGUAUAAGAGCGGAUGUGCCAAACUGGCCUGCUUGCAGUCCCAACUAAUCUAAUCACCCACUGAAACAUGUACAUCAUGGACCGAUAAAUAUAAGGAAGGAGACCUGAAGUGUUGAGCAGCUGAAGCCCCUAAUCAGACUAUUUUAAAAGUCCUGAAACUGGGCUUUUGGGUUCGCUUCUGCUUUAACUUAUUCAAAAUUUGCUUAGUAUUUUUCCCACAAAAAUAUCCAAAAUAUAACAACAGUUUGUAUCUCUGUUGUUACCUAUAAGUAUUACCAUUUACGUAAAUGAAUGCAUGACAAGUCAUAUUCAGACAACAUGCUAUUAUUAUUGUCAUUAUUUGUUGUCAUUUCUCUGAUAAUCUUUAUCAUUUGUAUGUCAUGUGGUGCUAGGAUGAUUUUCUUUAGCCAGUCAUGUCAGCAUUUAGGGUGGUGGAGCUGAGUAAAACGCACUUAUAGGACUAAUAAAGCAUUUAUAAAAUGCAUUAUUGAUGCAGUGAUCUGCUUAAUCACUUUCUCUUUUUUAAGUUUACAUUGAGAUCUCCAGAUCUGGUUUGUUAAAGUAUUUCUGGCUCCACUUUGACUACAUCCCAACUCAGAGGGAUUUAGUUGCCCUGGCUUGCUUGCAGCUUGGAUCCUUAUGGGAACUCCUUGGAGUGAAGAACAUUUUACAUUUUAAGGGCGACUUCACAACUAUUUGCAAUGAAAUCUUUUUUAAAAAUUACAUAAAACAAAUGUCAAAUGCAGUUCAUCUGGAAAUUUUCAGGUAAUCUGUCCCAUAAUAUUUAUUCGGCACUGUGUCCAUUUUUUAGAUGAAACCUUCUAAUUGCUGCUCAAAUAUCCAGACCAUGUGGUUACUAUGAGUGAAGUUCAAUCACUUUCUAGUAGAUUCUCUCUCAACACCACUCCCUGUUUCCGUCUUUCUAGUAGAUUCUCUAUCAACAACACUCCCUGUUUCCGUCUUUGGGGAAACAUCUGGGCUAUUGAUUGCCACUUUUUCAUGCAUAGUCCUUCUUCACCGGAGAGAGAACACUCACUAAACAAUUUCCUGCCUGCUGACUUCCAAUAGUAAAGCAUUUCAGCACCAUGGACAGAGCCUGUGGCUGACAGUCUGAGGGAAUAGAUUAUUCUAGCAAAGCACAGUCUCACAGUGUCAGCUUGUUAGCAUUAUUUGCAUUCCUCAUUUAAGGUGGCUGUGAGCAUCUAACCUCCAGCUACAACAGAUUGCACCUCGGGGACUUUAAGGAUGUGUUCACAAACUAUCUCCCACACUGUGACAAUUGUAUAGUUAGAUAUUCAACCCAUCAGGGCACUCCUGCAACCGCUAACACUUACCGCCCUUCCACACCACUAAUUCUUGUUUGCCAUAGCAGGCCAAUAUGUAACUGGUGUUCACUCUGCAUGAGAAGUGAACAACGUUAUAUUCUCAGAGCUGAUAAUUACCAAGGUGAUUAUCAUUCUAUGUGCGCUUCUGUGUUGCAUUUAGAGCGUUCACAUUAGUGGGUAAAUCCAUAAGUAAUCACCAGUUGUGAUGCUCGCUGUCGUUGUUUAACCACAAAGAUGAAAUGUACAGUUGGUAACAGUGAAAGAAUGGACAAAAAUAUACACAGCCAAUAGAAGGGGAAGUUAUGACGUAGGGAUCUUUAAUAAAACGUGAAGUCAAAUUUCCAGGAGAUAAAUCUCUUUUCGUUAAGCUAAUAAUUCUUCCAGAUGCAAAAGGCUGUUUUUAAAAAUUUAAAAAUUAAAUGUCAGUGCACUUGUAGCAGCAUCUUCCUUUAAAACUGACAGGAAUGACUGGUCAGAGCAAUGUUUCAAUUAUUAAGCUUCUGACUCUGAUGUAGAGGUGGAAGUUUGGUGACAGCUUAUGUGAGCAAAGGAAGUCAACUUUAGAUGGUGCGUUUUAUCAAGUCAAUCUCUUUCUCAAAUAGAAGAAAAAUAAUAAGAUUUCACAUCUGCUCCUGGGAUUAGAAGAGGAACAUUAUGUUGCUGUAUGACAAGAUUCAGAGCCAACUCUUGCAGUAUUCCCUCCUCUUCACCAUACCAGCCAUUAACUUCUCCCUGCUCACCUUUCUCCCUGUCUUCUCUUCCCUGACAGUCCAAUCCCCCAGAGGUGGUCCACCCUUGUGCUUCUAUCUCAUUCCUUCAAUUCCAUCCUGUCUCUUUUUCCUCUAUCUGGAUCCUACGUCUCUUGCAAGGGUCACAAAAGCGAACCAUUACGGAAACCCAAGCAACCCAGGAGUCUUUCUGACUGUGCCAUGGACAUGUGCACAUGCCUGAGUGCUUUAGUUCUCCAUGUUUAACUUCCAGAAGAGCUUCCUGUAGAGGAGGACUGCUGUCUGCAUGUUGAAAGACACAAGGAUGUAAAAUGCCAUAGUGAAAGGAAAUUGAGGCACAGUUCUUAUAACACUCUUUGCAUGCUCUUAAAAGCAUUAUGGUUGUAGGAUUCAGGGAUUGCAUUCAUGUCGUUGAGAUGAUGUGGAAAUGUGAACACUCAACACUUUGUAGCUGUUAAUAUGAGACAGCAUCACUCUUAACAUUGACUCCAGUCUGCAUCGUUGUUCACACUCUUAGCCAUCUGCGCUCCCUUACCCUCUUGCCUGCUCUCUCUUUUAGAAGUUAUAAGUUUUUACAAGAUUAAUCUUCAUCAGUAAGGGUAGUCUACACCAAAGUCUGAAAGUUAUAUUUACUUUCUCAGGGCUUUGAAUUACUCCUGUCAGGUUGGCGCUUCAGGCUGCUGCAAGCUAUUAUUUCAUUCCAAUGGAAGACUUUUCAUUUAGAGUGAAGGCUACAGGGGGGUCCAAACUUAAUGUUACAGGGGUACUGGCCCCUAUCCGUCCUUCCUUAGAACCGCUACUGUGAUAGCUUUAUGACAACACAGGGCAUAAGUAGGCUGAAUUGAUUUUAGUCUUCUUUGAUUGGAGUGUUUACCUCCUCUGAACUCAAGCCUCUAGUCAAACCUUCUCUGCAACAUGAAGUAUAUCUGGUGUUUUGAUGAAACUGGCAAAGACUAAACUGAAACUAUGUUUACACAUGCCCAACUAUUUUCCAGGACAUUUAACCCUCUCUGUUUACAUAAAAAACUGCGUGCACACCACUAUGUUUUCAUAAAAAAGUUUUCGUUUACACUAACCUGUCUAUAUAUACCAUCAAGAGCAAAUCAAACAUGUGGGCAGCAGUGUAGUGAGGAGCUCAAGCCCAUGUUAGUCAAUCAGAAUCCCGCAUAGCAGCAACAACAAGAACAAUAUCCCUUCCGUUUUUCCUGCGCACAAUCUGCCGUCAGCUACCCAAAUCUCUGUUCUCCUUAGUUUUACUCUGUUUACAUGCAAAUGUGGGAACAGUUUUCCAAAAUCUCCAUUUAAAAAGCGUCAUUUUCAGGGGUGAAUUCUCUAUUUGUGUCUCAACGAAGGGUGAAAAAAAAUCGGUUAAUGUCUCUGUUUUAAAAAAUAACUGGAUACGUAUAAACGGGGCCUGAUACUGUUCAUAAAACUGUUUAACCCUGAGCAAUAAUGCGAAUAAUAAUGUUUGCAUUAUUUAUUGAAUCAUGGUUUUCGACACCCCGUAUUGAAUAAUUCUUUAUUUUCUUUGGUUUGUAUCACAAAUAGUCAAAGUAUGUCACAUCUCUUUAAAUGUGGUUGUUAUGGUCACAGUGUCUUGGUUUCCUGCCUGGUCCUCUUGGGUUUUUAAACAGCUUUUCUCAAAGCACAUAAGGUUUAGGUACAGAACUUUGUUUUUAUAGAGCCUAAUGGUGGAUUGUGAGUUAUUAAAGUUUGUCAGGUCUCUUGUUCCCUCUGGUAGUUAGAUAUGUACUCCACUACCAUUACCCAAAGCCCACAGCAGCCAGGGAGAGCUUGCUUUCUGAUUGCUGUCAUCAGCACUGAAUGAUCAUUGACUUCUCCCUUGUUGGACUCAGGCGCCAGCCACAUCUUGAUAUACUCAUAACUUUAUAUUAAGUUUGUGAAGGCUGACUGUGCUGUGUUUCACUUACUUGUUAUCAGCCUAUCGCCUGCAUUCAUUACUCUCCUCUCAGACCUGAUGAUAGCAGACAUGUUUGGGCAGAGCGUCUUCUGGGCUCCACCCUUAUUGUUUACACCUCUCCGUCUCUAUUAGAAAGGAUGUGAAAAAGUAAAGCAUUUGUCAGUGAUUUCACAGUGUGCUGAUUUGUGGCAAAGAUAUGUGUAUGUGUUCACACGUGGUCAACAUCACAGCUACAAGCCGUGCACUGUACUUAAUCGUAAUAUUCAGUGGUGUCCUGAGGUGAGCUGGUGAGAGAAAACCAAUGCCAUCUUUACAUCAUAUCACUCCUGCUUUCAUAGUUACAGCAAUAAAUGGAGGAUAUGAUCAAUGCAGCUGAGGAGCCCAUAGUUAGAAUUAAUGAGCACUGCCCAGCUCCUGCAAUUUGUCUGCUGUGCUAUUGAGUUGUCUUAUUUCAAUGUCUAAUUUGUUAUUGCUCCAAACGUCUCCUUCCCCGAGGCGAUUUGAGGUGUCUCAUUGUGAGCCGUCAUCAUUGGCCGAUAAACACCUCUAUGAAUGUCUUGGGCAUUUUAGUGGUAAACGCAGUGCGUGCUGUGAUUUCUUAUCUAAAUGCUGUGACAGUAAGAUGAUUCCCUUCCCGGGGUCUUUGACUGAUGGAUUGCUCUCUAUUAUUCAUGAAACAUUGUCUGUAACGACGCAGAUUGUGAGCUUAAAUAACAUCUUCUGGGGGAUAUACCAUGGGGGGCCAUGGUGUUAGGUGUGCAAAUCAAUAAUUGUAAUGUUCAGACACACUUGGGGGUUAUGGUCCAGACAUGUUAUAAAGAUGAAAAUAGAAACAGAAAUCAUACUAUAUAUUUUGGGUCUCAGGUCAGUUAAUUUAGGUACAGAUAUCUUACCCUAUUCUUUUACUUUGAGACGAUGUAAUAAGAAAAGUGUGGGGCUUGUUAUCAUGACUUUCCAUUUAAUCCAUCUUCAUCUUGAUAUGAAUAUCAAAGACCAUAAUAUAAAAGCUUUUAAUUGUGAAAAGGAAAUGAGCAAAUAAUAGUUGUUUGAAAAGCCGAUCUGCACAUCUAAACAGCUGUGACAGUCUAAACAGCACCAUCAAGCUGGAUAUUGCUCCCCUUGAUGGAAACAUUAUUGGUGAAUGAAUCAUCAUUAUAUUGUCUCAGUCAACAUAUCUGUUAAUUUUAUAAGCAGACGGGUAUCACAAAAGCCGAGCCUAACUAAAUCCAAGAGAGCAGCAUUUCCCAUAAAUCAUCUGGGGUAAAAAUCUGAGCAAGGCAAACAAAGAAGAGAAUGAAGGGAAGGUGAUUCUCCAGCAAAACUGAGACACAGCCGUUCUGAGGGUUUAUCAAAGAUUUAUAGAAGUUUGUGGGGAAAACUGCAAAAAAAAUAGAAGAAAAAAGCUUGUUUGUUGAUGCCAUUAAACGAGGCGUAUUCGAAGGAAACAUGAGCAGAUGCAUGCAUCACAAAUCAUCCACUCUCUCCUUUAAAAACUGGGAGUACCACGAACUUGAGGGUGCAGUAAUCAGGCAGGAAGCAGACAUCCAUACAGACAAAUGAAGAGGUUUGGACUCUGCAUGGAGCAGUAAUCACAGAGGGGCUCCUCAACCAGAAAACCAAGCAUGCUGAAAUACACAAACACAAAGCCCUUUUUGAUCUUCAGAGGAGCAGAAGUAUUGAUUGCAUCUGUAUGUGGCCAGUUCUGCAUUCAGUUAUAAAAUGCAGCAUGGUGGGAUGGGUUGGAGGGGGCAAGCAGGGUAAAAAGAACCUCAGGCUAGUGUGUCUGUGUUGAAGGCAUCAUGGGCUGAAGUGCCAACAGGUGGCCACCGUGCUUCAGGGUACAGACUUACCUGGUGGAUGCUGUGCCGCAAACACCCAACCAAGACAAGUGAAGAGUUUGAUCUCUAGUAUGGGGCUGGCAGGUGUAGAGCUCACACUACAGAGUAAUACGGUGAAUGCAGGGUAGGUGUUUUAGAAGUGGUUCUGCAAAGGGAUCACUAUCACAUUUAUUCUGGCAAUGUUUGGCUGCUCUGACAGGACAAGAAGCCUUCCUCCCCAUCAGAAACAGGCUCUCAAAACAGGCAUGGUUGAAAAAUUAAUAUUACUGAACUUAAAGUCUCCAGUGUCCUUAUGUUUCAGCAGGUGUCUAAAUGAAACUCUCUCUACUGCAAAGAGGGAAAAUUUUCACUUUAGCAGAUGUGACUCACUAAACUACUUUCUACAAGUGUGGAAGCUUUUUUUUGACAUUGUUUGAUAAGACUUAACUGUAUAACCCGCAAUCUUUGCUGCUAUGGUGAUGCUGAUGAAGAUUCUUCUUGUCUCUGUACAUUGACAGUUUUUCUGGCUGUAUACAACCUGAAUGCAUUUGCAUUUUUGAGUUGUCUUUUUCUUUAAAUUAUUAUCAUAUUUUUAAAUUAUUGAAUAAUCAUUAUUGGACUAUCAUUUGAUUCUUUGAAUUAUAUUGACCCGGUUUUCAUACAUUAGCACAGUCUUUAAGAACCCACUCCGAUGAAAAUCACGUUUUCUUGUUUUUUUUUUCACAUGUUCAAAUGUAAUUUUUCUGAUGCUACCGGACAUAUCAUGAGAAAACUAAAUGCAAAAUUACUUUUCUGAGUAUUUCUUCAUUCAAAUCGCUGUGAAUCUCUGGCAGACCCAAACAGCAGGUUCAGAAACAGUGAGAUUUCAUACGUAACCAAUCCAAGCCCCGCCCCCGUAGCCCUGCUAUGCAGGCCACACUCUGCAUAUAGAGGAGAAAUACAGAGGACCAUUGUGGAACAAGCGUGUGCAUUAGUGGAUCACAUUGCUUAUAAGAAAGCUACUUAUGAUAUUAACUUUCACUGUGUCCCUAGAGAUAUUCGUGUCCAAGAGCUGAAUAGCUCCUAUGUUACCUGCCACUUCUGCUGCACAGGCAAUGUUAGGCUACAAGCUAACGUGAAGACAAGUGUGCAGAGCAGCACUGUCUCCGCCCACAACUCAGAGGCUAAGUGCUAAUGAGCUACUGAAGCUCUGCAGAAGAAAAGUCCUUGAAAACGACACAGAUAAUGCGAUUUUUGGUAAAAACAUCCACUGAGAACACUUUAGGUACAAAAUAGUUAAAAAAAAAAAGAUUGGAGUGGGACUUUAAGAGCACGGUGUGCUCUUAACCAUUUAGCUUCCUCUGCCACACCUGAACACCUUUUCUGAUCGAGGCACAGCAUGAUGGAAGAUGUACACUAACUGCAGAGAGAAAUUUGUCUUCCUUCUGCCCACUCCUGAGGCUAUGAGAAGAUAAUUGGCGCUGUUAAUGCUGUUUGCUAAAUCCCCCCAUAAUUCAAUCCCAUCACCUUUGAUAUCUCUUUUAAACACAUGUUUAUGAUCAGCUGUGGAUAACUACAUUUGUAUUUAUUAUUAUUCUCUGGUGCUGAAAGGGGCCAAAAAGCUUUAAUUCCAAUUGCAGUAAGUAAUUUUCAUUAAAUGUCAAUUUGUUAUUAAUUCAGAGCAACGCUGAAAUCAAAUAGUGUUCAUUAAUCACUGUGCCGUCCGGCGGGCUGCUAAUUAAAAUGUUGGGGGCGAGCUCGUUAUUCACUGGCAGACCUGAUUGUUAAUGUCGACUCAUUGUCCUCCUCCACCAUGCUAUCAUUUAUUUUCUUUGGUUUUCUUGUAAACUCUUGUUAAUUAUUAAAUUGCUUUUUUGGACCCCCUGUGACACUUUUCAGAUAGUCAUCAAAGUGCUGCCACUUAGAGGAAGUUGUCCUCUGGUUGGGGACAGAGCCCCAGAGACAACCAUAACAGGUAUUUUAUUUAUUGGUUUAAAUACAGAGAGCUUAAAUACAAACUGAGAGACACUAAAAGGAGGUGUUUUUCUUCCCUCAGACUUAAUAUGUUGAUUCUAUCUGUCAUGAGACACUGGGAGUUUUAGGCAAGUGUGAAAUAUAUGCAUAUCAAAUGGGAAAUUUUGUAUAAAUUAACAUUUAAUGAAUACUUUAAACUGCUAUAGGCUUCCUGGUUUACAGCAUAUUUGCUGAUUAUUAUGUCUAGUUUUGUUGAUUUUGCAAAUCAGCACAGCUUUCUGGCAUCAAGCUUCAAUUUACAUUUACUAUAUGUGUUAGAAAAAGCUUUGCAGAUCAUCCUGUUGGACAGUAAAAACAUGUUCGUUUAUACGUGUAACAUGAUGAGUUUACUACACCAGAAAACCUCUGAUCAUCCACAACAAAACUCUCUUAAACUACUCAGCUGUGUUGGCUUACUCUGGCUGAGCUUCUCAUGGAUGAAAUAUGGCCACGGUACAGGGGUUUAUGGUGUGUGGUUCAGCAUGAUUGAAUAAUUAGCAUUAGGUGUUCAAACAGCAGUAGGCACAGAGGACCAAGGUCGGUGUCUUGGACUCACACCUCAACCAGGGAUAUAACCUGUUUUCCUACCCCUCAAUUAUGCAUGUUAUCCAGCAGCAGCCAUAUGUCUCUGUCAAUACCUUUUCCAAGCAUUCAGCGGCGGUCUGUGUGGGAUUUGUGUGCGUUAAAUAAUGCAGUACUGAAAGGUCAGGAGGGAGACGAGGAGAGGGUCAAUGCUUUGGCGAGUUGCAUACAGGGAGGGGAGGUUGGAGCUGCGGCUCACAGAAGCUGCCGUUAAUUUCCAGGUCAGUUCCAAUAAUGAAAUGCAUACGGUAAAUGUCAAACAGCACCCGUCGACGGGUAAUCCACCUCAGCUGGGAAAUAAUGAAUGGCUUUCUUUAAGACCCCAACUAACUCCUUCGAAUAAGGAAAUCAGCAUGCAUGAAUUAUUUUUAGGCACAAGCUGCCUUUUCUGUGUCUUUGCUUCAUGGUUUCAAGUUUAACAUGAAAAGACUGCACAUAAAGACUGAUAGUUCUUCAGAUUUUCCCAAAAUAUAAAGUGGUGUAAAGGAAAAAGUUAGUUUUUGUAUUAUAAUUGACAAACCAUCAAAUGUAAUUAUGUCUUCUUAAUGGCCCAAGUAAAAAAUCUGCAUUUAGGCCACCUAGAGGGGUUAUUAUGCUUUUCUAUACUUACAACAAAAAAUACAAAGUUACAGCUUUUGGUAUCCACACUAAACCAUAAGUGAAUUUUCAAAUCUCGUGGCAAACAUGUGUUGUCAUAAUGCUAGAAAACAAAAGUAAACUGCUCAAAAAAGUUGAUGCAAUGAGGUCAUUGCGACAGGCUUUCCUAACUGGUUCAUCCGUGCUUCUGGCACAGCUGAGCGGUCUGCCCCAUCAGCCUGUGAGGUGACAACCUGUGACUGCAAGCAGGGCAAUGCUGCUCCCUAUCACUACUCUAUUGCUUAACAUGACCACAAUAGAGAAGGCUGGCCCAAAACAUGAACUCUGGCCUCUAGACUCCAGAAAGCCUCAAGAGAGGUGACCAAUCAGAAGAAAGCAGGCAAAUUUAAAGCAAAUUUAAUUGUAUGUAGUCUUUUUUGUCAUGUCUCAAAUAGUCAUCUACUAUCUACAGGAGAAUCACAAAGUCUGAUGGCUGUGGGUACAAAAGAUCUUCUGGACCUUUCUGUCCUGCAGCGAAGAGAGAGGAGCCGUCCACCACGGUUGGCCCUUUGGUCCAUUAAGGUGUCUUUAGAAUAGCCUCCACCUUCCUCAGUGUAGAUCUCUCCACCACAUCCUCUAGUGAGUCCAACUUCAUACCAACCACAGAACAGCUUUUUUCACCAGCUUGUUCAGACGUCUUGCAUCCUUGUGUUUGAAACUUCCUCUCCAGCAGACUGCAGCAUAGAACAAAACACUGUAGACACCACAGACUGAAAAAACAUCUGCAGCAUCUUACUACAGAUGUCUAUUGAUCAGGAAAAAAGGGACAGCAACUAAAAUGAUAUUUUAAUACACCACUGUGAGAAAUUUGAGGUCUUUUUUUUUAAAUCUUAAAAUCAUAUAUCUAUUUAAGAGGUAUCAGAAAGGACAUUUAGAGUCUUUAAAAAUGUAAAUACCCCCUCUAUUAGUGUUUAUUUAACCAAAAUUUCAAAAGUUAGGGAUAAUAUUUCGUCAUAUCUUGGAGAUAAUAAGACUGAAUUACUGCUACAGCUCUUCUGUGUGUUUGUGUGAGUGUGUAAGUGUGUCAAAUGAGCUUAGCAUCAAAGCCAAGACCAGGAGGGAUGGCUAGUCUAGCUCUAAUAUUUAAAAAAUUACUUUCAAUCAACAUUCUUACCGCUAAAUGAACAACUGAACAAACGGGUUGUGUCUUUCAAUUAAAACAGGAAAUUUUAAAAGGGGAAAGUUUUGUUUUAAAGCAAGAUUUCAAGAUCUCACAAAACACUAUCUUCAUAAACUUGUAAUCUUUGUUCUUUGACUGCACAAAUGUGUAUGUUAACUCAAUCAGUGAGAUUUUUUUUUAUGUUUCUAUGUAGAUUAUUGAACCUUGUGGAGUGUAGCGGACCACUUUGUGUCAUAGGUGGAAAGUAAACUUGUUCAUAUAGUCAUUACAAUUUUGUAAGAGGGACUGCAGCUGAAAGUCCACCUCUGGUGGGACCAAGUACCAAGUUAUGUGGAGUCAACAUUAUCAAUAUGACAACCGCCGUCGAUAAGCUUAAAAACUCUGCUUCGGAUUCAAAUGGUGGAUGCCACUGACCCUACAUCCAGUCGGUAAACAGUCUCAUAGGUGUCAGUUUAGGGGGGGAACAGGGGGAUGUGCCCCCCUCACUUUUUGUCAGGGGUUGUUUUGUCUCCACCACACACAAAUCCGACACACGUAAGCUAUUGUAAACCCUGUUAUUUUCAGUAGUAUAGAAAAUUCUGAUGCUCCUGAAUGCACCGUAUUUGUCCGAAAGUUGCUGAGAGCAAGGAUAACAAAAACUUAAAGCUGUUGUAAAUUUGUGUCUGUGCCAAGUUGAAGCAUAGUGUGCCCCCCCACCCCCGUGUAGCACGCGACAUAAACAGUGAAGUUAAGCUAAACUACAAUAUUCCAGCUACCUCCCAACACACAGACAUGAAAAUGGUAUCAAUCUUCAUAUAAACCAUUUGUAAAUGAAGAAAAUGACACCCCUAACAACACCACACACCUGUUGUGCUUCAUACUAAUCAAUACGUUAACAUUUGUUGACGUCUUAUUCUCUGAAAAACUUUCUAGAUGAAUCACUGACAGCAAAUAAAAGGCUUUGUUUGCCUCAUUCAAAUGAAAUCGGAGUGAAUUUACGAUAUUUUUUCCCUGAACUUUAAUAUAAGAGGCAUAUUGGCCUUUAUAUUAAGCUACUGUGUGGUAGGGUUGACUUAUUUUCUCACAAACACAGUGACUUUUUCAUCUCUGAAAGGUAGAAGGACAG